This 500-nucleotide ribosomal RNA is filed under the name uncultured bacterium. Its description in RNAcentral is "partial 16S ribosomal RNA". It matches the Rfam family "Bacterial small subunit ribosomal RNA", at positions 30 to 523 of the family's 1533-position model. The record is from RNAcentral.
AUUGAACGCUGGCGGCAGGCCUAACACAUGCAAGUCGAGCGGAUGACGGGAGCUUGCUCCUUGAUUCAGCGGCGGACGGGUGAGUAAUGCCUAGGAAUCUGCCUGGUAGCGGGGGACAACGUUUCGAAAGGAACGCUAAUACCGCAUACGUCCUACGGGAGAACGCAGGGGACCUUCGGGCCUCGCGCUAUCAGAUGAGCCUAGGUCGGAUUAGCUAGUUGGUGGGGUAAUGGCUAACCAAGGCGACGAUCCGUAACUGGUCUGAGAGGAUGAUCAGUCACACUGGAACUGAGACACGGUCCAGACUCCUACGGGAGGCAGCAGUGGGGAAUAUUGGACAAUGGGCGAAAGCCUGAUCCAGCCAUGCCGCGUGUGUGAAGAAGGUCUUCGGAUUGUAAAGCACUUUAAGUUGGGAGGAAGGGCAGUAAGCUAAUAUCUUGCUGUUUUGACGUUACCGACAGAAUAAGCACCGGCUAACUCUGUGCCAGCCGCCGCCGUAA